Molecule: ribosomal RNA, 408 nt
Filed under: uncultured bacterium
Lineage: Bacteria
Description: partial 16S ribosomal RNA
Rfam family: Bacterial small subunit ribosomal RNA
Source: RNAcentral
GACGAACGCUGGCGGCGUGCUUAACACAUGCAAGUCGAACGAAGUGGCGAACGGGUGAGUAACGCGUAAUCAACCUGCCCUUCAGAGGGGGACAACAGCUGGAAACGACUGCUAAUCCCGCAUACUGAAGGAGGGGAUUGCGUCUGAUUAGCUGGUUGGAGGGGUAACGGCCCACCAAGGCGAUGAUCAGGAGCCGGGCUGGGAGGAUGAACGGCCAACUUGGGGCGGAGACAAGGCCCAGACUCCUACGGGAGGCAGCAAGGGUGAAUCCUCCGCAAUGGACGAAAGGCUGACGGAGCAACGCCGCGUGAGUGAUGACGGCCUUCGGGUUGUAAAGCUCUGUUAAUCGGGACGCGGUACCGGAAUAGAAAGCCACGGCUAACUACGUGCCAGCAGCCGCGGUAAUAC